AUGUUCUCUGUAGCUGUGCUGCUGCUGCUGGCUGCUGGAUCCUGUGUGAACAGUAUUGAUCUCAUCCAGCCAGACUCAAUGGUUGUGCAGCCUGGACAGUCUUUGACCAUCAGCUGUCAGGUCUCUGGUUAUUCUCUGACUGAUGACAGCUAUGCAACAGGUUGGAUCAGACAGUGUGAAGGAAAACCCAUGGACUGGAUCUCCCAUCAGUGGGGUGGUGGUAACUUUUAUCAAAAUAAUGCUCUGAAGAACAAGUUCAGCUACAGCAAGGACACGUCUGCUCUAACAGUGACUCUAAAAGGACAGAAUCUGCAGCCUGAGGACACAGCUGUGUAUUACUGUGCCAGAGUGUCAGAGGAGACACAGUGA
Molecule: non-coding RNA, 369 nt
Organism: Centropristis striata (black sea bass)
Lineage: Eukaryota; Metazoa; Chordata; Actinopteri; Perciformes; Serranidae
Source: the annotation of a RefSeq genome assembly